GGAUGGUUACUCUAAUUGGCUAAGAGACUGGUCUUGAAAACCAGCGUAGCGUAAGCGAUCGGGGUUCGAAUCCCUGACCAUCCGCCA
This 87-nucleotide transfer RNA is filed under the name Caudoviricetes sp. RNAcentral describes it as "tRNA-Ser". It matches the Rfam family "tRNA". Rfam says of the family: Transfer RNA (tRNA) molecules are approximately 80 nucleotides in length. Their secondary structure includes four short double-helical elements and three loops (D, anti-codon, and T loops). The record is from RNAcentral. Lineage: Duplodnaviria; Heunggongvirae; Uroviricota; Caudoviricetes.